AUAAUUUGGUUGAAGAAUGCAGUGUUGAAUCAUACAUUGAUUAGAGAUUUAUUUUAUAUUUUCUGUUUCUUCGUUCUCCCUUCUCACUCUUCUCCACGACUCAGCUGGCGACGACGACCAACCAACAAAAAAAAAGCCCUCGAUUGGUGUUUUUGGUUCCUCUCUAAAAGCCCCCCCCUCUCUCUUUCGAAAUUUCCUCGCCGCUGCCCUCUCCUUGAUGGUUCAAUUCGGGUUUGCUUAAAUCCUAUGACGAAGUGUUUGUUUUCUAAAAUUUGGUUUUGGAUGAGAAAAUGAUGAUAAACAAAGGGCAAGUGCUGGUGCUCAUACUCUUAAAUAUCAUUAUCAUAUACGUGUGGAGUCAGGGGCGGAGCCAAUUAAGGCUUAUAAGGGGUAACAAUGUAGUUCUUCUUCUAACAUUUUGCUAAGUUUGUUCAGCUCUAAACCCUUCUCGCCUUUUAAUUAUUGAAUUCCUUACUAAUGUUGUUUUGGCUUUUAGUUAAAUUAGGUCAAGAAAAGUUCUAUACUUAAUUACUUUUGGAAUGAUAAUUAUCAGUCUACUACAUAGAUAUAUUGAAUUUAUUAUAAACAGUUAUGAAAAAUAGUGAAACACCAAAAUGAAAAACAACAGAGAUAAUGCACAAGUAAAAUGAAUAAGGGAUUAUACCUUAGUAUUUAAGCUAUAUAAUGUUUAUGGAUGUGUACCUUACCUUAUUGUGUAAAAUAAAAUAUCGUUGUGUAACAAAAUGGAUCUUAUACUCAUGUAAAAUUUGGAUCUACUUCAAAUUUGUCAUUAAAUAUAAUUUGGUUUUUGUUAAAUUUUUCAUCAUUUUGUAUAUUUUUCCUGUAACUUUCUGGGUUUUGGAGAAAUUUUCGUUAAAUUUCUUGGUGUUUUUUUUGUGACUUUAUCUGAACUUUGUAGAUUUUUUAUAUGUUUUGUACAAUUCUUAGAUUAAAUUUCUGAUUUUGUAAAUGAUUGGCCAAAUUCGAAUUUGAAAAACAAUAUAUUACGCCUGUGAUUUGUUGUUUAUGUGGUAAAAAAUAGGAUGUCUUUAUACUCACGAAGAAGGGUGGAGGAAUUUUGAGAUUAGGGUAAUAAACUGAAGUCUAUUUCAUCUGGGGACUUCCUUUGUACCAAGUAUUCAUAUUUGGUAAUAUCCAUUUGAUUUGGGGACUUCCUUUUCUCAGAAAGAAUCAUAUUUUAUUUUAUUACUUACAAAAAAGAUUCAUAUAAAGUUGAA
Pyrus x bretschneideri (Chinese white pear) is the source of this 1238-nucleotide long non-coding RNA. RefSeq lists it as uncharacterized. Lineage: Eukaryota; Viridiplantae; Streptophyta; Magnoliopsida; Rosales; Rosaceae. The record is from RefSeq and is a predicted model, not a curated record. The transcript has 3 exons.